UAAAGUGUUUCCUUUUACAAGUCCAAUCCUGUCUGAUUUUGGAAGCUAAGCAGAGUCAGGCCUGGUUAGUACUUGGAUGGAAGACCACCUAGGAAGACUAGAUACUGUAG
RNAcentral lists this ribosomal RNA (110 nucleotides) under Pteropus alecto (black flying fox). Lineage: Eukaryota; Metazoa; Chordata; Mammalia; Chiroptera; Pteropodidae. The record is from RNAcentral.